AGAUUCCUCCCUUGUGGAGCUUCCCCCUGUGAGCCCAGGAUUGUCUGAUACAGGCAGAUAGCUGGGAGCCGCGGAGCAUGUGAUGCUGCCUUCCAUAUAGGGGCAGGAGCAAAGCAAGACCAACUGAUGGACGCCCUAGGGCCAGACUUGCAGACAAUAUAUAACCUACUGCACGAUCUGCAACGCUUCCCACUUUCACAGCGCGAACAUCAGGCGGAGCGCAGCCGUGCUGGGAGAGCAGCCCUGGUGCAGCCCGCAGCCCUCAGCGCCCGCCUGGAUGCCUUCACCUUCAUGUGCUGGAAUCUCCCUUGCGAAGGAAACCGUUCCGGGCUGGGGCUGAAUGGGGGAGGUGGGCUGGAGAUAACACGGUUAACAACGCAAACAAAGCACAGAGGGCGGCUGUCUGUCUGUCUGUCUGUCUGUGGGGGGGUCAGCACGGAGCAGGCAAUAUAUAACUGCUGGGGCUCUCCCUGCGCUGUGCGUCUGUCCCUGCGCUGGGGAACAAACUUCGUGCCCGGGAUAGUUUGUGUGCUGCUGAACGGCGGUCCUCCCAGCAGCACCGGUGGG
Molecule: long non-coding RNA, 567 nt
Filed under: Gallus gallus (chicken)
Lineage: Eukaryota; Metazoa; Chordata; Aves; Galliformes; Phasianidae
Description: lncRNA (ENSGALG00010019324.1)
Source: RNAcentral